AUGUAGGCCAGAUGUCCCCUUCCUCCCUCAUCACUCCAUGUGUGUCCCUCCCAAAUCUGUGUGCUUGGUCAAGAGGACAACCUUCCCUGACAGAGGGGGAUGAUCUUCCCAAAUACAGGAGGACUGGUCUUAGGUCAAGGCUAUUGAAUAGCUGUGGUUUCCUCCUAGAACCUCCAAACAAGCUCUCAAGGUCCAUUUUUUUUUAAAUUUUAAAAAUAUUUUAUUUAUUAUUUUUUUAUAUGUAUGCGUGUAUUGCCUGCAUGUAGGUAAGUGCAC
RNAcentral lists this small RNA (276 nucleotides) under Nannospalax galili (Upper Galilee mountains blind mole rat). RNAcentral's name for it is "7SK RNA (ENSNGAG00000002420.1)". It matches the Rfam family "7SK RNA", at positions 72 to 331 of the family's 331-position model. Rfam says of the family: 7SK was discovered as an abundant small nuclear RNA in the mid-70s but a possible function has only recently been suggested. Lineage: Eukaryota; Metazoa; Chordata; Mammalia; Rodentia; Spalacidae. The record is from RNAcentral.